UCACUCCAGCAAUGGUCAGUGCUUGAUACUUAUAUAUAUUUAUAAAGUAUACUUGAAACCGUGAGGUCUGGUAUCGAUACAAUGACAAUCGAGAAAGUAUCGAUACUCAGUAUCACCCAAUCAAUCAUGUAACACUUUGUUUUGUUUUGAUAUUCAACCUAAUUUUCAACUAAAGCUGCUCAAAAAUAUAUACUUAAUGUUGCAAAUGAAAAACAAAACAAACAAUGAACCCAAAAAAAAAAGUGCCACUGCGCUACUGGAGUUUCAAUUUGAUAGAGCGAAAUAAGAAAUUGGGCAAUGAAUGACUAUCACAGAAGUCCAAAUAGUCAUGCAAGGGGCAAUAUGGAUCUUCUGAAAAUUGCGCAAAAACUUGUUGCUACUCUUCAUUUCAAAUCUUCUGGCAUCCCUGAUCAUUGUUAUGUCGCUGUCAUGUCAGCAUCCAUCAUUCAGUCUUCAGUUUUUUUAAUUUAUUCCGCGGCUUUAGUCUCCAGUGUUAUUGUGUUGCUUGUCUCUGUUUAUCGGUUUUGAUCGUUUUGAUUGAGUGUUCACGAGUGAGGAAAUUACUUCUGCGUGGUACAAACCGUCGAAGCUAGCGGUCACUGUGGUUCCGUAGAAUUCAGGAAAGGCAGCUACCUCAAUUUAAGAAUUUGGCUUUUAUCAUUUGCUAGAACAUAACGGAACUUCAAUGAAAUUUACACCAAAGGAAGAUGGUGCAUUUGACCGCGAUGAGUAGGUGAGAAACUAUAAUGUUGCGUUGUAUAAACAGGGAUACCAUCUGGCCGGAGGUGUAAAUCAGGACCUUUCAUAGCUUUAAAACCCACCCUGGUAGAGGCAGUUAUAAUAAAACCGGAGCGCUAGCCCCGCAAUUACUUUGUAUGCUAAUAGUUGUCCGCGAAGUCUGUGCUUAAUAAAUAAUAAGGUCAAGUUUGUACAGCGUAAUGUUCGUACCUAUACUUUGCCUUUUAUUUGAUUUACGCUUUUUUGAUAGUGGAGUUCCACUAUUGGAAUAAUAUAUGAAUAAAGAAUGCGGCAACGUUUGUACAACAAAUAA
Wyeomyia smithii (pitcher-plant mosquito) is the source of this 1051-nucleotide long non-coding RNA. RefSeq lists it as uncharacterized. Lineage: Eukaryota; Metazoa; Arthropoda; Insecta; Diptera; Culicidae. The transcript has 3 exons. The record is from RefSeq and is a predicted model, not a curated record.